CUCCAACUCAAUGUGAGUGCAGUAUAAAUUCCCACCUAUUCUCUCAUAGGCGUGGAUACCAAAGCACUCUCAGCAAAGUUCAGAAACUUCAUCUCUGCUGUGUUUCUGGCACGGAGAACAUCAAAUGGGAGACCAUUCAAUGAAGCUGUGGAGUCUUUGCCAACGGGGUUCGAAGUCGAAGGCCACUAUUGUAGAACUCGUCAAUCAUUACUUGAAAUCGAAAGAACGCGCUGUGUAUAAGUGCCCUGAUCACUCCCCGUGUAUUAUAGCAACACGCGGGCAGGGGUCAUGCACGAAUAUCACCUAAAGCCGUUCGUCUGUAUUACGCUUCAGGAGGCCAGGAAAUUUGUUCUUAGCCUGCUGAAAGGAAUACAAGAUGAGAAGACUGAUAAUUGUGUAGAUACAUGUAACACCUCAAUCAAGAUAGUUCUAAAAAUGUCAAGAUGCUUCAAAGGAGUUGAUCCAUUUAUCUCUAAUACAUGAUUGAAGAUAUGUCAACAAGGCGAUCCAAGUACCGGAGACACUUGCGUAGACAUAUGCUGCUUAGUUUCCAUAUGCUUAUUGCGGAGCACAAUGAGCUUUCUAAUAGAGUAAAAUAAACCUUCUUUCUUGUCAAGAAGGCAUCUUCCC
This is a long non-coding RNA of Syzygium oleosum, 630 nucleotides long. RefSeq lists it as uncharacterized. The transcript has 2 exons. The record is from RefSeq and is a predicted model, not a curated record. Lineage: Eukaryota; Viridiplantae; Streptophyta; Magnoliopsida; Myrtales; Myrtaceae.